Non-coding RNA from Oryzias latipes (Japanese medaka), 349 nucleotides. Lineage: Eukaryota; Metazoa; Chordata; Actinopteri; Beloniformes; Adrianichthyidae. The record is from RefSeq and is a predicted model, not a curated record.
AUUUAUUCCAAAGGAAAUUACUAUGGAGAUCAAGAGAGAUCUAGAAGGAAAGAGCCGUGUUCUCUCAGCAGAUGAUGGGCUGGUGUCGUCCGGGGUUCGCCCAAAUGAGGAUGACACUUUCCAAAGAAGAGACCAUGUGGAGAUUUUGAAGACAGACUCUGGAGUUUACUCUUGCAGAGUCGUCCAUAGAGCCACCAAUGUGGAUGUAGAGACGGCCUGGGAUCGCCAACUUCCUGAUAAUGAUGCAAAAGGAAUUAUUAUUGGUGCUGCUGCUGGUGAGUCGUCUUGAUUGCAGUGGUGAUUGUUGCCGUGGUGAUUGUGAUGCUGAAGAAGAAAAAAGCUGCCAAAC